CGGCAAGAACAACAGGGAUUGCCUCAGUAACGGCGAGUGAAGCGGCAAAAGCUCAAAUUUGAAAUCUAGCACCUUCGGUGUUCGAGUUGUAAUUUGAAGAUGGUAACCUUGGGUUUGGCUCUUGUCUAUGUUCCUUGGAACAGGACGUCAUAGAGGGUGAGAAUCCCGUCUGAUGAGAUGCCCAUUCCUAUGUAAGGUGCUAUCGAAGAGUCGAGUUGUUUGGGAAUGCAGCUCUAAGUGGGUGGUAAAUUCCAUCUAAAGCUAAAUAUUGGCGAGAGACCGAUAGCGAACAAGUACAGUGAUGGAAAGAUGAAAAGAACUUUGAAAAGAGAGUGAAAAAGUACGUGAAAUUGUUGAAAGGGAAGGGCAUUAGAUCAGACUUGGUGUUUUACGAUUAUCUUCUCUUCUUGAGUUGUGCACUCGUAUUUCACUGGGCCAGCAUCGAUUCGGAUGGCAAGAUAAUGGCAGUUGAAUGUGGCUUCACUUCGGUGGAGUGUUAUAGCUUCUGCUGAUAUUGCCUGUCUGGAUCGAGGGCUGCGUCUUUGACUAGGAUGCCGGGCCG
This 562-nucleotide ribosomal RNA is filed under the name Hansenula anomala. RNAcentral's name for it is "LSU rRNA". It matches the Rfam family "Eukaryotic large subunit ribosomal RNA", at positions 55 to 633 of the family's 3401-position model. The record is from RNAcentral. Lineage: Eukaryota; Fungi; Ascomycota; Saccharomycetes; Phaffomycetales; Wickerhamomycetaceae.